Molecule: unclassified non-coding RNA, 375 nt
Filed under: soil metagenome
Description: partial contains 5.8S ribosomal RNA, internal transcribed spacer 2, and large subunit ribosomal RNA
Rfam family: 5.8S ribosomal RNA (bases 1-118)
Source: RNAcentral
GAUGAAGAACGCAGUGAAGUGCGAUAAGCAAUGCGAAUUGCAGAACCGUGAGUCAUCAGAUUUUUGAACGCAACUGGCGCCGGUUGGCUAUCCAACCGGCAUGCUUGUUUCAGUGUCUCUUUAUCUCAUCACCCAUAUCAUAAUGCGAGAGAUACCCUUCUCUUGCUAAGCUCGAAAGCACUCUGCGCUCUGCGAGCGGCUUCGACUUGUUCGAGGGCCGCACUCAAUGCAGCCGUCACAUUGCUCACAAUGUGAACUCAUUGAGAGCUGAGGCAGUGUAGCGUAAGCUACCAGUGCUUAGUCACACAAACUUUACUUGCAUCUGAAAUCAAGCAGGAUCACCCGCUGAACUUAAGCAUAUCAAUAAGCGGAGGA